This 697-nucleotide ribosomal RNA is filed under the name uncultured bacterium. Its description in RNAcentral is "bacterial SSU rRNA". It matches the Rfam family "Bacterial small subunit ribosomal RNA", at positions 60 to 752 of the family's 1533-position model. The record is from RNAcentral.
AGUCGAACGGCAGCGCGGACUUCGGUCUGGCGGCGAGUGGCGGACGGGUGAGGAAUACAUAGGAAUCUGCCCCGUUGUGGGGGAUAACGUAGGGAAACUUACGCUAAUACCGCAUACGACGGCGACGUGAAAGUGGGGGAUCUUCGGACCUCACGCGAUGGGAUGAGCCUAUGUCGGAUUAGCUAGUUGGCGGGGUAAAGGCCCACCAAGGCGACGAUCCGUAGCUGGUCUGAGAGGAUGAUCAGCCACACUGGAACUGAGACACGGUCCAGACUCCUACGGGAGGCAGCAGUGGGGAAUAUUGGACAAUGGGCGCAAGCCUGAUCCAGCAAUGCCGCGUGGGUGAAGAAGGCCUUCGGGUUGUAAAGCCCUUUUGUACGGGAAGAAAGCUUUCGGGUUAAUACCCUGGGAGGAUGACGGUACCGUAAGAAUAAGCACCGGCUAACUUCGUGCCAGCAGCCGCGGUAAUACGAAGGGUGCAAGCGUUAAUCGGAAUUACUGGGCGUAAAGCGUGCGUAGGUGGCUCGUUAAGUCUGUCGUGAAAGCCCUGGGCUCAACCUGGGAAUGGCGAUGGAAACUGGCGGGCUAGAGUGUGGUAGAGGAUGGCGGAAUUCCCGGUGUAGCGGUGAAAUGCGUAGAGAUCGGGAGGAACAUCUGUGGCGAAGGCGGCCAUCUGGACCAACACUGACACUGAGGC